RNAcentral lists this long non-coding RNA (1136 nucleotides) under Sus scrofa (pig). RNAcentral's name for it is "lncRNA (ENSSSCG00025074174.1)". Lineage: Eukaryota; Metazoa; Chordata; Mammalia; Artiodactyla; Suidae. The record is from RNAcentral.
AUGUGCAAGCAUGUGGCCCUAGAGGGAUGUGAGAAGAGAAAAUACUAUCAGCCGUCACCCAUAAGCCCCACCACCUCACCAAGGUGCUCUUCCUCCCCGCAGGCAGAGAGGUCUGAGCAUGACAGCCUCCUUGGCCAACACAGGCAGCAUCCUGAGCCCGCUGGUGAGCACGGCCUCAGAGGUUUACCCUUCCCUGCCUCUCUGCAUCUCUGGAGCUGCCUGUCCCAUCACUGUCCUCCUGCCGGAGACUCUGGGGCAGCCACUGCCCAACACAGUGCAGGACCUGGAGAGAAGGUGGAAAGAGAAACCCGGGCAGAAGCAGCAGGAGCAGCAGAUGGUCCUGCUCCAGCCUCCCGAGGACUGAGAAGGGGCAAAGCACGGACGGAGCCCCCGCAUCUCCUGGAGGUCCUCACCCAGAGGAGGGGGAGAGGAACAGCAGCCAGGGGAAGACGGGAGGGACCCCUGCUGGACCUGUAAUUCCAGAGGACACUUCCCCUGGGCCUCCACUCCUAGCCAGACCCACCCUCCCAUUUCAUUGAAAGUAGCUACACACAACUUCUCCCAUUCUUUCCACUGUGGCCACUCCGUAUCAGCUAACCCUUGGUGCAAAAAUUCACAUGGCAGAGUUCCCACUGUGGUGCAAUGGGAUUGGUGGCGUCUUUGCAGCACCAGGAUGCAGGUUCGAUCCCCAGCCCAGCACAAUGGGUUAAAGGACCCAGUCUUGCCACAGUGGCAUUGGUUGCAGCUGUGGCUAGGAUCUGAUCCUGGCCUGGGAACGCCGCAUGUCUUGGGGCAGCCAAAAAGCAAACAAACAAAAAAACACAACAACAACUCAUUCGAUGAUCAUUGGUGUAGAAAACCCAGUGGAAUCUACACAAACACUACUUCAACAACAAGGAGUUUAGGAAAGUGGUAGGGAGUUCACGUUGUGGCUCAGCGGAAACGAAUCUGACUAGUAACCAUGAGGACACAAGUUCGAUCCCUGGCCUUACUCAGUGAGUUAAGGAUCCGGCAUGGCUGUGGCUUUGGCGUAGCCAGGAGCUGUAGCUCCGAUUGGAACCCUAGCCUGGGAACCUCUAUAUGCCACGGGUGAGGCCCUAAAUAAAAAAAGAGAGAGAAAGUGGUGGAUUAUAAUA